AGUCACUGACAUUAGAUACCCCUGUAGUCCCAGCCGUAAACUAUGCGCGUUAGGUGUAUCGGUGACUACGAGUUACCGAGGUGCCGAAGGGAAACCGUGAAACGUGCCGCCUGGGAAGUACGGUCGCAAGGCUGAAACUUAAAGGAAUUGGCGGGGAGCACCACAACAGGUGGAGCCUGCGGUUUAAUUGGAUUCAACGCCGGACAUCUCACCGGAUAAGACAGCUGAAUGAUUGUCAAUCUGAAGGUUUUACAUGACUAGCUG
Molecule: ribosomal RNA, 264 nt
Filed under: uncultured archaeon
Lineage: Archaea
Description: partial 16S ribosomal RNA
Rfam family: Archaeal small subunit ribosomal RNA
Source: RNAcentral